CCUACGGGCGGCAGCAGUGGGGAAUAUUGGACAAUGGGGGCAACCCUGAUCCAGCCAUGCCGCGUGUGUGAAGAAGGCCCUCGGGUUGUAAAGCACUUUCAGUGAGGAAGAACGCCUGGUGGUUAAUACCCAUCAGGAAAGACAUCACUCACAGAAGAAGCACCGGCUAACUCCGUGCCAGCAGCCGCGGUAAUACGGAGGGUGCGAGCGUUAAUCGGAAUUACUGGGCGUAAAGCGCGCGUAGGUGGCUUGAUAAGCCGGUUGUGAAAGCCCCGGGCUCAACCUGGGAACGGCAUCCGGAACUGUCAAGCUAGAGUGCAGGAGAGGAAGGUAGAAUUCCCGGUGUAGCGGUGAAAUGCGUAGAGAUCGGGAGGAAUACCAGUGGCGAAGGCGGCCUUCUGGACUGACACUGACACUGAGGUGCGAAAGCGUGGGUAGCAAACAGGAUUUAGAUACCCCAGUAGUC
This 466-nucleotide ribosomal RNA is filed under the name Vreelandella stevensii. RNAcentral describes it as "partial 16S ribosomal RNA". It matches the Rfam family "Bacterial small subunit ribosomal RNA", at positions 338 to 795 of the family's 1533-position model. The record is from RNAcentral. Lineage: Bacteria; Pseudomonadati; Pseudomonadota; Gammaproteobacteria; Oceanospirillales; Halomonadaceae.